Molecule: ribosomal RNA, 404 nt
Filed under: uncultured Oscillospiraceae bacterium
Lineage: Bacteria; Bacillati; Bacillota; Clostridia; Eubacteriales; Oscillospiraceae
Description: bacterial SSU rRNA
Rfam family: Bacterial small subunit ribosomal RNA
Source: RNAcentral
GGGGAAUAUUGGGCAAUGGGCGCAAGCCUGACCCAGCAACGCCGCGUGAAGGAAGAAGGCUUUCGGGUUGUAAACUUCUUUUGGCAGGGACGAAGAACGUGACGGUACCUGCAGAAUAAGCUCCGGCUAACUACGUGCCAGCAGCCGCGGUAAUACGUAGGGAGCGAGCGUUAUCCGGAUUUACUGGGUGUAAAGGGCGCGUAGGCGGGAGUGCAAGUCAGAUGUGAAAUCUCCGGGCUCAACCCGGAAACUGCAUUUGAAACUGUAUUUCUUGAGUGAUGGAGAGGCAAGCGGAAUUCCUAGUGUAGCGGUGAAAUGCGUAGAUAUUAGGAGGAACACCAGUGGCGAAGGCGGCUUGCUGGACAUUAACUGACGCUGAGGCGCGAAAGCGUGGGGAGCAAACA